UACGAAGGGGGCGAGCGUUGUUCGGAAUUACUGGGCGUAAAGGGCGCGCAGGCGGCCUAUCAAGUCAGGCGUGAAAGCCCCGGGCUUAACCUGGGAAUUGCGCUUGGGACUGAGAGGCUUGAGUACGGGAGAGGAGAGUGGAAUUCCCAGUGUAGAGGUGAAAUUCGUAGAUAUUGGGAAGAACACCGGUGGCGAAGGCGGCUACUCGUGGACCGUAACUGACGCUGAGGCGCGAAAGCGUGGGGAGCAAACA
Molecule: ribosomal RNA, 253 nt
Filed under: uncultured bacterium
Lineage: Bacteria
Description: partial 16S ribosomal RNA
Rfam family: Bacterial small subunit ribosomal RNA
Source: RNAcentral